This 328-nucleotide ribosomal RNA is filed under the name uncultured eukaryote. RNAcentral describes it as "partial 18S ribosomal RNA". It matches the Rfam family "Eukaryotic small subunit ribosomal RNA", at positions 1470 to 1796 of the family's 1831-position model. The record is from RNAcentral.
CCCUUAGAUGUUCUGGGCCGCACGCGCGUUACACUGAUGCAUUCAACGAGCCUAUAACCUUGGCCGAGAGGCCUGGGCAAUCUUGUUAACGUGCAUCGUGAUAGGGAUAGAUUAUUGAAAUUAUUAAUCUUGAACGAGGAAUUCCUAGUAAACGCAGAUCAUCAAUCUGCAUUGAUUACGUCCCUGCCCUUUGUACACACCGCCCGUCGCACCUACCGAUUGGAUGGUCCGGUGAAGCCUCGGGAUUGUGGUUCUUGCCGCUUUAUUGUGGCGUGACCGCGAGAACUUGUCUAAACCUUAUCAUCUAGAGGAAGGUGAAGUCGUAACA